CUAAAUUUAUCUUCGGAAGGAGAAAACACUUGCUCUCCAAGUAUGUGUUAGAAUCUUUCAGCUUCUCACUUCUGCCAAUGCUUUCUCUAAGUAUUUAUUUUUCAUUUCUAUGCAUGAUGAGAAAGAAGAUGAAAAGAGCUUAGGGUUCCAAUGAAAUGUUCGCAGAGAUGCAGGGCAAUACACAGGAAACACACAGGGACUGUGUUAUGCACUUCAGAUGAGGAAUACAAAAUACAAAAUUCCUUAUAAGUUGUGGAAUAAAAGAUGCAAGACAAAACAAGCAGUGCCGAAGACACACGGACCACAUUAAUCAGAAAGAAGCAGGGUGCUAAAUGAAGAGGCCAAGAGAUCCUCUUGGGAUAUCUGGGAUUAUUUCACAGAGAAGAAACCUAAAUUCUUAACCUAGAUUCUCAAAGUAUGAGGAGUAAGCAAGCAGAUACUGCGAGUAGAGAUGACACCAAUGAAAACACAAUGGACAUGAGAAAAUAAGGGCACUGCAAACACAAUUACACACCCAAAGCCUAAUUUUCAACUAAGGAAACUUGAGUCCCAGACUGCCCAGCAUUGUAAAAUGUACGAAGAGAUUUAGGUUUUAUUCUUCAGCAGACAAAAUGCACUGACUUUUUUUGUUUGUUUGUUUAAUUGAGGAGUGGUAUGAUUCCAUAACGGAUUUAAAAGAGUAAAUGUGUUAGGACUGGGAGAUUGAUUGGCAUGGGAAGAUGAUAGCAAGGAGACCAGGCUAUUAGAGG
This 749-nucleotide long non-coding RNA is filed under the name Homo sapiens (human). Its description in RNAcentral is "HSALNT0092512". Lineage: Eukaryota; Metazoa; Chordata; Mammalia; Primates; Hominidae. The record is from RNAcentral.